CAGGAGGUAGGAGAGCGGCCACUCCGCCGGCCUUGGGAGCCGGACAGCGCGGGUUCGAAUCCCGCCCUCCUGA
Molecule: transfer RNA, 73 nt
Filed under: Chloroflexota bacterium
Lineage: Bacteria; Bacillati; Chloroflexota
Also listed under: 2 other names
Description: Chloroflexi bacterium tRNA-Pro
Rfam family: tRNA
About the family: Transfer RNA (tRNA) molecules are approximately 80 nucleotides in length. Their secondary structure includes four short double-helical elements and three loops (D, anti-codon, and T loops).
Source: RNAcentral